CUCUGGGCACGGGAGGGGAGCUCUGGCUGUGCAUACUGGCUACCCCACCCCAUGGAGGGCUCCCUCCUAAUCCCCGAGCUGGGAAGAUUUCUUAUUGUCCAAAACCACCCGAAUGGCACAGACAUCUCUCUUUCAGGUUUAGGUCUGCUUCCCUGGAUGAGAGUGAGGCGAGGAAGAAACCUAGGGAAUGGCUGGGAGCGCCCAGCACCCCAGGAUCCCCGAUUUCCAGCCCCAGAGCUGCCCCUUCUGUGCUUCCCUGGAAGCAAGAGGCUGACUGUGGUACUUCAGGACACUUAGGGGACAGAUGUUGUUACGUUAACUUGUCAUCGCAGAUGUGCAUUGAGUACCCCCUACCUGCAGGCGUUUCAUAGGCCAGUAUCUACAAGGAUGCCUCUAUUUGUCUGUUGUCCCUGACACUUAGCCCAGGGAGGGCACAGGGCAAGCCCUCAAACAUUUAUUAAUUUGAGCACUAACUCUAGGGGGUGAGCAUUAGCCUCAUUGCCCAAACUGUGCCAGGGCCUCCCAGAUCUUCCCUGGCCACACCAUAAAGACAUAAUAGUGCGGAUACUUAGCCCUUACUAUCUAUAGUGCUCUAAGUGCUCGACAGGGCUUCCGCCAGGCCCUCCCAGCCACCCCCGCCUCUCCCUCCCUGCCCUGAUCUUGAGACACUGUCGUCCACUCUUUGCUGAGUUGAUAUUCUGACAAUAAAAUCAGCCAACCAUUAGCCAGCGCAUACCAUGUUCCAGGUGCUGUUACAUGCUAUGCCUGUAGGAACUCAUUUAAUCCUUCCAAAGAUCCUGGGAGGCAAGUAGUACGACUGUCCCUGUUUUAUGGAUGGGGAAACUGAGGCUCCAAGAAGUGGUGAAAAGACUUGUCUAAGGUCGCUGAGUCAGGAUCAGAACUCAGGGCUCUCAGGCCUCGAAUACUGGGAACGCUGCGGGGGAAGAGGGGGAGUCCAGGCAUCCUUGUCUUGGCGGCCAGGAGGCCAGAGAUCAGCCUGGGGGUUCCCGAUUUCACUCGGGGCAGGGGGCUGAAGUCCUGCUUUGCAGGGUAUCCCAAAGGGAGCCCAGACCCCCUACUAAUAGGUUUGCCCUUGGGGGAGGGCUGACAUCCUCCCUCUGCUGUCCCAUUCCCAAGAUGUAACCUCCUUGCCUCUUCCUUGCUGGGGGGGGGGGGGUGGGGUGAUCAGGUUCCCGUUGCUAGGCAACCAGGUUUGUAGUUGGUGAAUAAUGCAUCAGGGGACCCAAAAGAGUGAGGAACCAAAUUGGGGUCCCUGGGGGGAAACUCUUUACAAACCUCUGGAGCCCCUCCACCCUCUUACUUUAAAAGGCCCUCAAACCUUGAAUGUUAAAACCCUCCGCACACCCCAUUUGAUAUUGUCUGUCUCCAACUCUACAAGAACAGGGUUCGUGGCUAUGGCCUGUUGUCACCAGGAGCAAUGGGUGGCCCUUUCAUUAAGCCGGUGAUGGUUGCAAUUUUGCCAUCACCUUUCCCAGUUGGGCAGCUGUUAACUUUCUCUGUUGUAUCUCAAGCAUUUCUUCCUACCCUGGAAGCUGAGGGGUGUUUCAAGAGGCAAAACAUGGGAGUGAGGAACCCUGGCGUUUCCUGGCCCCCCAGUCCUAGCCCCACCCCCCAGCCUGGACUUUGAGCUUGAAGACUGCCAGUGGAAAAAUCCCGGAAAAAAGAAAGUGGAGGUCCACAUCUCCAACCCGACUCUGGGGAGAGGGAUCCGAAGAGCCUGCGGGGUUGCCUGCUGACCUCUCUCCGCUCCCCCUGGUCCCCUUAGGAGAGGCCAGCUGGGGCUCCCACCCCGUGGAAAGGCCAGUGACCCUCCCAGGCCCUGCGCACCCGGCCCCCCCUCCCCCCCUCCCCAGGACACUUACGUGGGU
Molecule: long non-coding RNA, 1889 nt
Organism: Felis catus (domestic cat)
Lineage: Eukaryota; Metazoa; Chordata; Mammalia; Carnivora; Felidae
Exons: 3
Source: RefSeq, a predicted model, not a curated record